GGAGCAGUUGAUAGCUCAGUGGUAGAGUGCAUGCUUAGUGUGUAUGAUCUCCAAGGGUUCAAUCCCCAGCUUCUCCC
Dallia pectoralis (Alaska blackfish) is the source of this 77-nucleotide non-coding RNA. NCBI's taxonomy places the organism in Eukaryota, Metazoa, Chordata, Actinopteri, Esociformes, Umbridae. The record is from the annotation of a GenBank genome assembly.